This 402-nucleotide ribosomal RNA is filed under the name bacterium. Its description in RNAcentral is "partial 16S ribosomal RNA". It matches the Rfam family "Bacterial small subunit ribosomal RNA", at positions 355 to 776 of the family's 1533-position model. The record is from RNAcentral.
UGUGGAAUUUUGCACAAUGGUCGAAACCCUGAUGCAGCGACGCCGCGUGAUUUAGAAGGCCUUCGGGUUGUAAAAAUCUUUUCUAUGGGAAGAAAAUGACAGUACCAUAGGAAUAAGGACCGGCUAAUUACGUGCCAGCAGCCGCGGUAAUACGUAAGGUCCGAGCGUUGUCCGGAAUCAUUGGGCGUAAAGGGUACGUAGGCGGGUAAGCAAGUUAGAAGUGAAAUCCUAUAGCUCAACUAUAGUAAGCUUUUAAAACUGCUCAUCUUGAGGUAUGGAAGGGAAAGUAGAAUUCCUAGUGUAGCGGUGAAAUGCGCAGAUAUUAGGAGGAGUACCGGUGGCGAAGGCGACUUUCUGGCCAUAACCUGACGCUGAGGUACGAAAGCGUGGGUAGCAAACAGG